CCCGCUGCCGGGGUCCCCCCGAGCUCCGGCCCCGGGCACGCCGCGGCUGCGACUGGGCUGACAAAUCACGAGUGAGGAAAUGAGGAAAUGCUCUGAUUUCAUUUUCGCUUAGCUGGGACUGGACCUGUCGCACGACUUGCGCGUUUGUUUGAAGCAGCUGCUCGAGCAUCUGAGAAAGGGAAGCAGUUUGCUGCUCCUGGCACCCCCAAAAUCAACACAGAGCGCGGAGCUGAGACGGGCCGAGGCCGAGCACGGACCCCCCGCAGCUGGUCUGACCCCGGCAGCGCCCUUGGGCCGGACCCAGACUCCCAUCUCGCCGCCGUCGCGUGUCAACCAGGCCAAAGGCAGCUCUCAGAAAUCAGAUUUAUUCCUUUUUCCUUGGGGAAGCACAGAGGGGAAAACACAGUUUAAACAUAACGAUCGCCUGGAGCCGAGCCUGCUGCAUCCCCGGCCGGCCUCAGUGCCGCACGGACAGCGGGAGACGCAUUUAAUGCACAUUAUAUCGCAGAUGCUGCCGUCAGCCUGAAGGUGCCACCAGCAAAGUCCCCAGCAGCAGCUGGAAAAUCACGCGCCGGGGCUUCCUCCGGGGUCCCGCGAAGGCAACCGGAUUCUUAAAUAAGGCUGGAGUGGAUCCCCGUGCGCCUGAGCUCAGCGGGGCCAGAGGCGGCAUCCCAAGGGCUUGUCUGGAAGCGGAGACCCCCCUAGAUCCGAGGGCCGAACCUCCUGAGUGCCUCCCGGCCCCUGCCAGAUUUUGCGGCCAUCAACUCUUCCUGGGAGCAGAAGGAAAGAAACCAUUUCUGCACGUUGGAGUGAGUUGAAGCCACGAGGGAAAUACCAGGCAAAGGUGUGCAAAUUAUUUCUGUAUAUUAAAAACAUGUUUCGCUUUGAAAAAAUCUGACCAAGGCUGGAGAUGAGAGAGACAGGAGAAAACUGGUGCUUUUUCAAGCCAGCUCCGACAUGAAGAUAAGGGAGCUUUGUUUAGAGAGCUGCCUAUAUAUAUUUUUUUUAACGAGAUAAUGCCUUUCGGUUGCUAGAUGUAGCCCUGCUGACACCACAGCAUUUUGCAGAGCUGCGCCGGUUUGAGCGGGGCUGAUCCCUUCCAACACUUUGCCUCUUCUUGUUUUGAGCUUUAAACGGUGCAGAAACGCUCGCGCUCGCAGGUG
Molecule: long non-coding RNA, 1163 nt
Organism: Dromaius novaehollandiae (emu)
Lineage: Eukaryota; Metazoa; Chordata; Aves; Casuariiformes; Dromaiidae
Exons: 4
Source: RefSeq, a predicted model, not a curated record